GAGGAAUAUUGGUCAAUGGGCGAGAGCCUGAACCAGCCAAGUAGCGUGCAGGAUGACGGCCCUAUGGGUUGUAAACUGCUUUUGUAUGGGGAUAAAGUCAAUCACGUGUGAUUGUUUGCAGGUACCAUACGAAUAAGGACCGGCUAAUUCCGUGCCAGCAGCCGCGGUAAUACGGAAGGUCCGGGCGUUAUCCGGAUUUAUUGGGUUUAAAGGGAGCGUAGGCUGGAGAUUAAGUGUGUUGUGAAAUGUAGACGCUCAACGUCUGACUUGCAGCGCAUACUGGUUUCCUUGAGUACGCACAACGUUGGCGGAAUUCGUCGUGUAGCGGUGAAAUGCUUAGAUAUGACGAAGAACUCCGAUUACGAAGGCAGCUGACGGGAGCGCAACUGACGCUGAAGCUCGAAGGUGCGGGUAUCGAACAGGAUUAGAUACCCUGGUAGUCCGCACAGUAAACGAUGGAUGCCCGCUGUUGGUACCUGGUAUCAGCGGCUAAGCGAAAGCAUUAAGCAUCCCACCUGGGGAGUACGCCGGCAACGGUG
This 539-nucleotide ribosomal RNA is filed under the name uncultured bacterium. RNAcentral's name for it is "bacterial SSU rRNA". It matches the Rfam family "Bacterial small subunit ribosomal RNA", at positions 356 to 896 of the family's 1533-position model. The record is from RNAcentral.